This 500-nucleotide ribosomal RNA is filed under the name uncultured Myrionecta. RNAcentral describes it as "bacterial SSU rRNA". It matches the Rfam family "Eukaryotic small subunit ribosomal RNA", at positions 1217 to 1793 of the family's 1831-position model. The record is from RNAcentral. Lineage: Eukaryota; Ciliophora; Litostomatea; Cyclotrichida; Mesodiniidae.
ACCAGGUCAAGACAUGGGCGUGAUUGACAGGCUAAUGACUUUUCUCGAUUCCAUGGAUGGUGGUGCAUGGUCGCACUUAGUUGGUGCAGUGAUUUGUCAGGUUUAUUCCGGUAACGAACGAGACCUCGGCCCUUGUAAAUAGCUAUGCUGCUUACAGGGACAUUGGCGGCUACGCCAAGGAAGCUCGAGGCAAUUGCAGAUCUGGAAUGCCCUUAGAUGUCCUGGGUCGCACGCGUGCUACAAUGACGCCACGAACGAGCUUGCGUGAUGAAAGUUACGCAUAAUCAGCAGUCGGCGUCUUAAGGGAUAGUCUCUUGUAACUGUGGGACUCCAACUAGGAAUGUCUCGUAAGCACAAGUCAACAUCUUGUGUUGAUUACGUCCCUGCUCUUUGUACACACCGCCCGUCGCUCCUACCGAUCGAGUGUUUAGGUGAAAUUUGAUGGACGUAAAGGGAAAGUCAAAUAAACUUGAGCUCUAGAGGAAGGAGAAGUCGACUUU